Molecule: non-coding RNA, 900 nt
Organism: Microcebus murinus (gray mouse lemur)
Lineage: Eukaryota; Metazoa; Chordata; Mammalia; Primates; Cheirogaleidae
Source: RefSeq, a predicted model, not a curated record
UUGGAACUUCACUUCAAUUCAACUAACACGGAUUGAGAAAUCAACAUAACCAGGCACCAGGGACUGAGAACCCUCAUGAACUUACCAUGGAGAAGGGGAGAUACACACACCUACAAGUAGCUUCGGUGAAAGGCAGAAAGCAAGCAGUGCUGUAAGAAGCUGAGAGAAGGCUCUGUCAGCACAAAGGAAGGAGGAGAGAUUUUGCCAUGAUUUUAGUGAUUGGAAAAUGUCACCUGAAGUAAUGAAAGCUGGCUGAGCUGAAACCCAGAGCAUAAUUUCUUACUGGCUGGCUGCUCCAGAUAGUAACAGCUUCAGUGCCCUUCAGAAUGGAAUUUUUCUGAGCCUGUGAAGAUGUGUGAGGUGUGCCCGGCAGAUGGGAACAUCAAAAUACAGAGCUUUUAUUGGGAGUGAAAUGAGGAAGAUCUGUUUGCAUCAUAGCUAGUAUUGGUCCUCGACAACUUUGCAAGAAAGUGAAAGCCAGUGAACCCUGAACUUGUUUGUUUUCCUUUAAGGACUGGCAGAGAUCUUGUCAUGCAUUAAGAACAUCAUAUAUGCACCAAAGACAUGACCAGGGGACUCAGACCAUCUUCUACCCUCCAAACCUCAGGGACAUUACACUGCUCAGGAAGAGGGAAUCUCUGGUGGGAUACUGGAGAUCCCUGGCCCGUCUUUACGAAGUCUAACUACUCUGAGAUGUCCAUGCUGUGAGGAAGCCACUUGAAGAGGCCAUGCAGAGAAGAACUGAGGAAUUCGACAGAUACGCUGAACCUACACCAUGGACACGUGGCCCCAGCUGGGCCACCCCUGUCCCUCCAGCUGUUUGAGCAACUCCUCUGUGUUCUCACUCUUGACCUACAGAAUCCUGAGCAUAAUAAAGAGGUGAUUGUUUUGUGUCACACG